Molecule: ribosomal RNA, 703 nt
Filed under: uncultured Phenylobacterium sp.
Lineage: Bacteria; Pseudomonadati; Pseudomonadota; Alphaproteobacteria; Caulobacterales; Caulobacteraceae
Description: bacterial SSU rRNA
Rfam family: Bacterial small subunit ribosomal RNA
Source: RNAcentral
CGGACGGGUGAGUAACGCGUGGGAACGUGCCCUUUGGUACGGAACAACUGAGGGAAACUUCAGCUAAUACCGUAUGUGCCCUAUGGGGGAAAGAUUUAUCGCCAUUGGAGCGGCCCGCGUUAGAUUAGCUAGUUGGUAGGGUAAUGGCCUACCAAGGCGACGAUCUAUAGCUGGUCUGAGAGGAUGAUCAGCCACACUGGGACUGAGACACGGCCCAGACUCCUACGGGAGGCAGCAGUAGGGAAUCUUGCGCAAUGGGCGAAAGCCUGACGCAGCCAUGCCGCGUGAAUGAUGAAGGUCUUAGGAUUGUAAAAUUCUUUCACCGGGGACGAUAAUGACGGUACCCGGAGAAGAAGCCCCGGCUAACUUCGUGCCAGCAGCCGCGGUAAUACGAAGGGGGCUAGCGUUGCUCGGAAUUACUGGGCGUAAAGGGCGCGUAGGCGGACAGUUUAGUCAGAGGUGAAAGCCCAGGGCUCAACCUUGGAAUUGCCUUUGAUACUGGCUGUCUUGAGUACGGGAGAGGUGAGUGGAACUCCGAGUGUAGAGGUGAAAUUCGUAGAUAUUCGGAAGAACACCAGUGGCGAAGGCGACUCACUGGCCCGUUACUGACGCUGAGGCGCGAAAGCCUGGGGAGCAAACAGGAUUAGAUACCCUGGUAGUCCACGCCGUAAACGAUGAGUGCUAGUUGUCGGCAUGCAUGCAU